GUUUAAUUAAUACAUUAAUAGUUUGUAUUCUUUCUGAACAGUUAAUCUUCAAAUUGUAUAGUUUGUUCUUCAUACACGAACAUUUAUAUGAAUUGUUCAGCUUAGUCCGUUAUAUAGAGCUAUCGUGAGGAGCUGAGGAAUAUGUACGAAUAAAAGGGUGGGGGUAAAUUCCAUUGUGAGUUUACAUCCAGUAAGUAUGAACCUGCAGGGUUAAAUUAAAUUAAUUAUUCGUGCAUGUUGGACAUGAAAUUAUCAUCCCAGUGUUUAUGCAAAUUCGUGUGAUGAAUCUCACGCUUGACUGGAUGUUGGCUGGGUGUAGAGUAGGACUUUAAAUUACUUUCAUUGGGGGGGGGGGCAGAGAGAACAAAUCACACAGUUCUGUUUUUGAUCGGACCUGAGUGCAAUUUUAAACUUGACUAUAUUGGCGAUAGUGUUUGGUUUGGUUUGUGAAACACCAUGUAUUUAAUUUGCUAUUGCAAAUCUUUCGAUCUCAUGUUUGGUUUUCGUGAUAGUGCUAAUAAUAUAUGCUGAUU
Paramuricea clavata is the source of this 533-nucleotide non-coding RNA. The record is from the annotation of a GenBank genome assembly. NCBI's taxonomy places the organism in Eukaryota, Metazoa, Cnidaria, Anthozoa, Malacalcyonacea, Plexauridae.